RNAcentral lists this unclassified non-coding RNA (350 nucleotides) under soil metagenome. Its description in RNAcentral is "partial contains 5.8S ribosomal RNA, internal transcribed spacer 2, and large subunit ribosomal RNA". The stretch from base 1 to 120 matches the Rfam family "5.8S ribosomal RNA", at positions 35 to 154 of the family's 154-position model. The record is from RNAcentral.
GAUGAAGAACGUAGCGAAAUGCGAUAAGUAAUGUGAAUUGCAGAAUUCAGUGAAUCAUCGAAUCUUUGAACGCGCAUUGCGCCCGCCAGUAUUCUGGCGGGCAUGCCUGUUCGAGCGUCAUUUCAACCCUCAAGCCCAGCUUGGUGUUGGGGAUCGGCACAGGCGCCCUCGGGCGCCCGCCGUCCCCUAAAUCUAGUGGCGGUCCCGCUGCAGCCUCCUCUGCGUAGUAGUUUUCUCCUCGCAAGGGCAGCUCGGUGGCGACCUCGCCGUAAAACCCCCAACUUCUGAAAGGUUGACCUCGAAUCAGGUAGGAAUACCCGCUGAACUUAAGCAUAUCAAUAAGCGGAGGA